Chelonia mydas (Green sea turtle) is the source of this 1025-nucleotide long non-coding RNA. RefSeq lists it as uncharacterized. NCBI's taxonomy places the organism in Eukaryota, Metazoa, Chordata, Testudines, Cheloniidae. The transcript is spliced from 2 exons. The record is from RefSeq and is a predicted model, not a curated record.
CUGGAGCGGUGUUGUGAGAUUUGGAAGACCUGAGAACUGGAGUAAGGGAGACCCUACCCUACAGCAUCUAAGGAUUGGGGGUAACCCCACCUAAGGGGGACAAGGAGCGGUGUCUGGCCCCAUUGAAGCUACAGGAGGCUAAAGAGGCUCAGAUUUGACUGUGAUGAACACCGUAUAACUACUUGGAUGGAUUACCUUAUGACUGAGGGCCUGGUCCUGUGUGGUACUGAACAGCUUCAGCUCCCAUGGAGCCCAGCUUGCAGAGGCCACUCAGCCUUUGCAGGGUUGCGCCCACAGAACAAUGGCUUAAAUAAAGUUCCAAUACUUUAAUACAUCUUCUUUAGGGAUGUGCCUCAUAAGCAACUUUUUCACCACCUCUACAAAGAAAUACAUCUUCCCAGUGAUAUUUCCAGCACUUUCAUUUCAUAUGUAGAUGUGAAGUCUUGUGAUUUGUAAGUUACAUAUAGGUUCAAUCUUAGUAUUGCCUGGAGCACCCACCACCACAGUAUCUCUGAGGUUCUCCCCCCCCCUUGUUUGAUUUAAACCUAAAGCAUACCUAAAGCUCAACAUCCAAAAAGGCUCAUAAACUUCUUGCACAGGUAACAUGCUCAUAAUGUAAAUGAAGGUAAUUUAGGGUUCAAUUCUGCAAACACUUAUUAGUACAUGUAAUCCUUAUGUAUGAAAGCAGUGACUUCAAAUGGCAUCAUGCAAGCAAAGACUGCUCACUUAAGUGUUUUCAAGGUUAAGUCCUAAAAAUUAAGCUCUUCAUGGACAUGGUCUUUUAUUGGACAGCAGGUAGCAGAACCUGUACAUAUUUUCUCUGUACAUAAUUUACAGAGCUCUACCACCUUGUUUUACCAAAAAUGGCCUGGACACAAUGGUAUAGAGCAUCAACACCUAAAACAACACUCACUUCUAAAUGCUUACUGCCAGAUGUUCUGCAGCUUUUUUGACCAAUACCUGCAGAGUACAGGAUCUGUUAGACUAGAUUUAAACAUUUUUAGCUAAUUUAUCAUCAACAUUCA